AAAAGACAAACAGUUCCAACAUUGACAAUUAUUGCAUCCUAAUAAAUAGAGUAGAGUUUAUUCACGAUCAGGAAAUAGGAGAAGCAUCUGAAGGCUUGCUACGCAGGAGAGAUGAUGCUGGACGAUAGAGAUAGGAAUAAUGGGCUUACUUUAUUGGCCAGCAUCAUACUCCUGCAUAUUAAGCCUCAAAUGAUGCUAACAAAACUAAGUUAAUUACCAUGAUGGUUUAUAGAUAGUUGAGACAGAGAUCAUUUAUCUGUUUUGUUCAUAGACUAUAGUUUGCAGUUAAUUCACAUAGUUCAGCUAACAAUGUUAAUUGUUAGUUAACAGGUUCUUUCUAUUUUGGAUGCAGAUGACAGACUUGGAUCGACACUUCGCCGAACAUGGGUAUUGAAAAGCUUAACAAUUUGUAGGUUCCCAAUUGUAAAGUGAUUUCUGCUCUACUUUGUCUGAUGAAUGGGCUCUUCUAUUUUUUUUUUUUUUUUUUUUUUUUUUUUUUUUUUUUUUUCAUAAAAGCUCAUGUUAAGUAUUGCUGCUUUGCAGAAUGAUUUGAUUCAUCAAAUGACAAUUGUAUGAAAAGCAAACGACCUGGACCUCCAAAGGACGUCGGCAGCUGGUAGAGAAGUUCAUUUUUUCCUCUUCAAAACACAAGAAAAUGCGGACCUAGAUCUCUAAAGGACUAGAAUACAAAACACAUAAGCUUCAAAUCCUAACUCCGUCUUUACGGUCAGAGUAGAACUGGGCAGAGAGUUUCAAGUAUAAGGUGAGGUUGAUUCAUCUAAGAAAAGAGUUUCAACAACAUAAAUAUCACAAGCCAACUAUAAAUAAGCAAGCAAGAAGGAUAAACCAGAGAAGGCGCAAAAUAGGCAAACAUACUUGGUAUCUCAAGGAAUAUUGUGUAAGAAGAUAUAAGGAAAUAGGAACUAUCAUAUCCAACCACAGCUGCAGAAUUUGUUAUUUUCCUUUUGCAAGUGUAACUGAUCAUCAUCAUUUCUUUCUUUUUUGGAUUUCAGCAAGUUCAGUUCCAAGUUUCUAUGGCUUCUGUCCUGAAGCAUAUUAUCAAAUUGUUUAGGACAGUGAAGUAUAUGGAAGUUCAGAUGAAGGCACUGAGAACAGAGGAUUCUACUGACAAUGCAUCCCCUGAGCAAAAAAUAAAGAUAGUUCAAGAAAAUUUAAUCAAGUCAGAAGCAUGUCAAUUUGGGUUUGAUUUGAAUUUAUCCCAUCCAAUUGCAAGAAGUGAUUCCUCAUGUGAAACAUUUAUUUGUUUAGUUCAUUAAAAAAAUAUGAAAUUAUUGUGUCCAAACACACAUGUAUGUAUAUAUAAUCGUACAAGUAAUAUAAGAUUUUUAUGUUCGGAUAUAGUAUCCACAGGGACUUGUCGAUAAACUAUUUUACUAAAUUAGACUAAGGCC
This 1412-nucleotide long non-coding RNA is filed under the name Capsicum annuum. The record is from RNAcentral. Lineage: Eukaryota; Viridiplantae; Streptophyta; Magnoliopsida; Solanales; Solanaceae.